GACGAACGCUGGCGGCGUGCUUAACACAUGCAAGUCGAACGGAAAGGCCCUGCUUUUGUGGGGUGCUCGAGUGGCGAACGGGUGAGUAACACGUGAGUAACCUGCCCUUGACUUUGGGAUAACUUCAGGAAACUGGGGCUAAUACCGGAUAGGAGCUCCUGCUGCAUGGUGGGGGUUGGAAAGUUUCGGCGGUUGGGGAUGGACUCGCGGCUUAUCAGCUUGUUGGUGGGGUAGUGGCUUACCAAGGCUUUGACGGGUAGCCGGCCUGAGAGGGUGACCGGCCACAUUGGGACUGAGAUACGGCCCAGACUCCUACGGGAGGCAGCAGUGGGGAAUAUUGCACAAUGGGCGGAAGCCUGAUGCAGCAACGCCGCGUGCGGGAUGACGGCCUUCGGGUUGUAAACCGCUUUCGCCUGUGACGAAGCGUGAGUGACGGUAAUGGGUAAAGAAGCACCGGCUAACUACGCGCCAGCGGCCGCGGUGAUACGUAGGGUGCGAGCGUUGUCCGGAUUUAUUGGGCGUAAAGGGCUCGUAGGUGGUUGAUCGCGUCGGAAGUGUAAUCUUGGGGCUUAACCCUGAGCGUGCUUUCGAUACGGGUUGACUUGAGGAAGGUAGGGGAGAAUGGAAUUCCUGGUGGAGCGGUGGAAUGCGCAGAUAUCAGGAGGAACACCAGUGGCGAAGGCGGUUCUCUGGGCCUUUCCUGACGCUGAGGAGCGAAAGCGUGGGGAGCGAACAGGCUUAGAUACCCUGGUAGUCCACGCUGUAAACGGUGGGUACUAGGUGUGGGGUCCAUUCCACGGGUUCCGUGCCGUAGCUAACGCUUUAAGUACCCCGCCUGGGGAGUACGGCCGCAAGGCUAAAACUCAAAGGAAUUGACGGGGCCCCGCACAAGCGGCGGAGCAUGCGGAUUAAUUCGAUGCAACGCGUAGAACCUUACCUGGGUUUGACAUGGAUCGGGAGCGCUCAGAGAUGGGUGUGCCUCUUUUGGGGUCGGUUCACAGGUGGUGCAUGGCUGUCGUCAACUCGUGUCGUGAGAUGUUGGGUUAAGUCCCGCAACGAGCGCAACCCUUGUUCACUGUUGCCAGCACGUUAUGGUGGGGACUCAGUGGAGACCGCCGGGGUCAACUCGGAGGAAGGUGGGGAUGACGUCAAGUCAUCAUGCCCCUUAUGUCCAGGGCUUCACGCAUGCUACAAUGGCUGGUACAGAGAGUGGCGAGCCUGUGAGGGUGAGCGAAUCUCGGAAAGCCGGUCUCAGUUCGGAUUGGGGUCUGCAACUCGACCUCAUGAAGUCGGAGUCGCUAGUAAUCGCAGAUCAGCAACGCUGCGGUGAAUACGUUCCCGGGGCU
RNAcentral lists this ribosomal RNA (1346 nucleotides) under uncultured bacterium. RNAcentral describes it as "bacterial SSU rRNA". It matches the Rfam family "Bacterial small subunit ribosomal RNA", at positions 28 to 1381 of the family's 1533-position model. The record is from RNAcentral.